Molecule: transfer RNA, 69 nt
Filed under: Felis catus (domestic cat)
Lineage: Eukaryota; Metazoa; Chordata; Mammalia; Carnivora; Felidae
Also listed under: 2 other names
Rfam family: tRNA
About the family: Transfer RNA (tRNA) molecules are approximately 80 nucleotides in length.
Source: Rfam by way of RNAcentral
ACCUGGCUGGCUCGGUAGAGCAUCUGACUCUUGACCUCAGGGUUAUGGGUUCAAGUCCCAUGUUAGGUG